RNAcentral lists this ribosomal RNA (418 nucleotides) under uncultured microorganism. Its description in RNAcentral is "bacterial SSU rRNA". It matches the Rfam family "Bacterial small subunit ribosomal RNA", at positions 9 to 429 of the family's 1533-position model. The record is from RNAcentral.
GAGUUUGAUCCUGGCUCAGAUUGAACGCUGGCGGCAUGCCUUACACAUGCAAGUCGAACGGCAGCAUGAUCUAGCUUGCUAGAUUGAUGGCGAGUGGCGAACGGGUGAGUAAUACAUCGGAACGUGCCCUGUAGUGGGGAUAACUAGUCGAAAGAUUAGCUAAUACCGCAUACGACCUGAGGGUGAAAGUGGGGGACCGCAAGGCCUCAUGCUAUAGGAGCGGCCGAUGUCUGAUUAGCUAGUUGGUGGGUAAAGGCCCACCAAGGCGACGAUCAGUAGCUGGUCUGAGAGGACGAUCGGCCACACUGGGACUGAGACACGGCCCAGACUCCUACGGGAGGCAGCAGUGGGGAAUUUGGACAAUGGGCGAAAGCCUGAUCCAGCAAUGCCGCGUGUGUGAAGAAGGCCUCGGUGUAAG